Molecule: ribosomal RNA, 477 nt
Filed under: uncultured bacterium
Lineage: Bacteria
Description: partial 16S ribosomal RNA
Rfam family: Bacterial small subunit ribosomal RNA
Source: RNAcentral
GACGAACGCUGGCGGCGUGCUUAACACAUGCAAGUCGAACGGUAAGGCCCUUCGGGGUACACGAGUGGCGAACGGGUGAGUAACACGUGGGUGAUCUGCCCUGCACUUCGGGAUAAGCCUGGGAAACUGGGUCUAAUACCGGAUAGGACCCUGGGAUGCAUGUCCUGGGGUGGAAAGCUUUUGCGGUGUGGGAUGGGCCCGCGGCCUAUCAGCUUGUUGGUGGGGUGAUGGCGUACCAAGGCGACGACGGGGAGCCGGCCUGAGAGGGUGACCGGCCACACUGGGACUGAGAUACGGCCCAGACUCCUACGGGAGGCAGCAGUGGGGAAUAUUGCACAAUGGGCGCAAGCCUGAUGCAGCGACGCCGCGUGAGGGAUGACGGCCUUCGGGUUGUAACCUCUUUCAGCACCGACGAAGCGCAAGUGACGGUAGGUGCAGAAGAAGGACCGGCCAACUACGUGCCAGCCGCCGCCGUAA